GGAAGGUGUCCCCGAUCCAAAGCAAAUAGACCUCUGCUGUGAAGAAUAAGGAACCGGCUAAGAGACCGAGUUGUGUUGUUCUCGUAACGCACUGCACUGAGAGCAGACCAAGGCGAAUGAGCUGUAACUGCACUUGGACACCGAUCGUCCCGAUGCUGUCGCUCAGCAGUUUGAAGCAGUCGUUCCUACCUGCCGUGGAGAGGACCACCUAACCAGACACCACUCGAUGCUGUGAACAGAUGGGAUGCAUGAACCAAUCCAGGAUUAAU
Long non-coding RNA from Lampris incognitus (smalleye Pacific opah), 269 nucleotides. RefSeq lists it as uncharacterized. The transcript has 3 exons. Lineage: Eukaryota; Metazoa; Chordata; Actinopteri; Lampriformes; Lampridae. The record is from RefSeq and is a predicted model, not a curated record.